This is a non-coding RNA of Pelobates cultripes (western spadefoot toad), 468 nucleotides long. The record is from the annotation of a GenBank genome assembly. NCBI's taxonomy places the organism in Eukaryota, Metazoa, Chordata, Amphibia, Anura, Pelobatidae.
CUUCCUUACUUAGUAUUACCCUGAUGUCAUGGUGUUACAGUAGAUGAUGCUCAUGGGGGGGGGUCUCUGUCGGAUGGGGAGUUCGCUCAUUUAGUGCGUGAAUUGUCGUUAUACUAAGUUUUGCGAGUAUGGUUUAUUUCGUUGUUGUUCGAGGUCCCUUGUCUCCAGGGGGGGAAGGGUGUCGAUGUGGGUAGGGUGCCUGCGGUGUGUCGAGGGUGUAAGGUGAGAGUGGGGGGUCCCUGUGAAUUGGGGGCGAGUAACAGGUGGAGGGGAGUAGCAGCGUGGUACCGGUUUGCGGCUGUUGGUGGGUCCUAGGAUCGUGACCUCUAUGUCACAGGGUGGGUUGGUAAGUGUGUAGGGUGGUCGGUGUUGGUUUAAAGGGUGGUGUCGUUUCGGUAGCCAGUGCUGUGGCCUCUUUGCGGGCUCGUUAAUGACUGUGUUGGUGUUGUGUGAGCUGUUGUGUGUAGU